This 772-nucleotide ribosomal RNA is filed under the name uncultured bacterium. Its description in RNAcentral is "bacterial SSU rRNA". It matches the Rfam family "Bacterial small subunit ribosomal RNA", at positions 31 to 851 of the family's 1533-position model. The record is from RNAcentral.
GUACGCUGGCGGCACGCCUAACACAUGCAAGUCGAACGAAGUAGCAAUACUUAGUGGCAGACGGGUGAGUAACAUGUGGGUAUCUACCCUUUGGCCUGGAAUAACACGAGGAAACUUGUGCUAAUACCGGAUAAGUCUUUACGGAGAAAGCUUUAUGCACCAUUGGAUGAGCCCGCACUUGAUUAGUUUGUUGGUAGGGUAAUGGCCUACCAAGACUAUGAUCAAUAGCUGAUUUGAGAGGAUGAUCAGCCACAUUGGGACUGAGACACGGCCCAAACUCCUACGGGAGGCAGCAGUGGGGAAUCUUGCACAAUGGAGGAAACUCUGAUGCAGCGAUGCCGCGUGAGUGAAGAAGGCCUUUGGGUUGUAAAGCUCUUUCGUCGGGGAAGAAAAUGACUGUACCCGAAUAAGAAGGUCCGGCUAACUUCGUGCCAGCAGCCGCGGUAAUACGAAGGGACCUAGCGUAGUUCGGAAUUACUGGGCUUAAAGAGCUCGUAGGUGGUUAAAAAAGUUGAUGGUGAAAUCCCAAGGCUCAACCUUGGAACUGCCAUCAAAACUUUUUAGCUAGAGUGUGAUAGAGGUAAGUGGAAUUUCUAGUGUAGAGGUGAAAUUCGUAGAUAUUAGAAAGAACACCAAAUGCGAAGGCGACUUACUGGGUCACUACUGACACUGAGGAGCGAAAGCAUGGGUAGCGAAGAGGAUUAGAUACCCUCGUAGUCCAUGCCGUAAACGAUGUGUGCUAGACGUUGGAAAUAUAUUUUCAGUGUCGCAG